This 444-nucleotide ribosomal RNA is filed under the name uncultured bacterium. RNAcentral describes it as "partial 16S ribosomal RNA". It matches the Rfam family "Bacterial small subunit ribosomal RNA", at positions 354 to 796 of the family's 1533-position model. The record is from RNAcentral.
GUGAGGAAUAUUGGUCAAUGGACGGAAGUCUGAACCAGCCAUGCCGCGUGCAGGAAUAAGGUCCUAUGGAUUGUAAACUGCUUUUAUUCGGGAAUAAACCUCUUUACGUGUAGGGAGCUGAAGGUACCGAAGGAAUAAGCACCGGCUAACUCCGUGCCAGCAGCCGCGGUAAUACGGAGGGUGCAAGCGUUAUCCGGAAUCAUUGGGUUUAAAGGGUCCGCAGGCGGGCUAUCAAGUGAGAGUUGAAAUCCCACAGCUUAACUGUGGAACUGCCUUUGAAAAUGAUGGUCUUGAAUUAAGUGGGCGUUGGCGGAAUAUGACAUGUAGCGGUGAAAUGCAUAGAUAUGUCAUGGACACCGAAAGCGAAGGCAGCUAACGAUACUUAUAUUGACGCUCAUGGACGAAAGCGUGGGUAGCGAACAGGAUUAGAUACCCCAGUAGUCC